Molecule: ribosomal RNA, 395 nt
Filed under: uncultured bacterium
Lineage: Bacteria
Description: bacterial SSU rRNA
Rfam family: Bacterial small subunit ribosomal RNA
Source: RNAcentral
GUGUCAGCAGCCGCGGUAAUACGUAGGGGGCAAGCGUUGUCCGGAAUUACUGGGCGUAAAGGGCGUGUAGGUGGGAAUUUAAGUCAUGGGUGAAAACUGCGGGCUCAACCCGGAGAUUGCCUAUGAAACUGGAUUUCUUGAGGGCAGGAGAGGAAAGUGGAAUUCCUAGUGUAGCGGUGAAAUGCGUAGAUAUUAGGAGGAACACCAGUGGCGAAGGCGACUUUCUGGACUGACCCUGACACUGAGGCGCGAAAGCUAGGGGAGCGAACGGGAUUAGAUACCCCGGUAGUCCUAGCCGUAAACGAUGGGCACUAGGUGUGGGAGGUAUCGACCCCUUCCGUGCCGCAGUUAACGCAAUAAGUGCCCCGCCUGGGGAGUACGGCCGCAAGGUUGAA